CCAGGUUUCUCUAGUUCUAGGAGUAUUAGUGAGGCAGUUCUCUGGCUUUGUGUGUCUCUACAGAUGGACCUGUUGGACCGACCCACCAACCCACACACCAGAGUCCAGGUUUCUCUAGUUCUAGGAGUAUUAGUGAGGCAGUUCUCUGGCUUUGUGUGUCUCUACAGAUGGACCUGUUGGAAAGAUACACUGUAAAUGUGACCAGUGACAGUUUGUUGCAGAGUUCACGUGUGUGAUUUAGUCCAGGGUAGUUUAGGUGUGUCUCUGAACCCACUGACUCAAAUCUACAGUGUCGUCGUCAGUUAGCGCCUCUGUAAAGCACUUUAGAAACGUAUUGCUAAGCCGAGUUAGUGGUGCUUAGAUUCGUCCUUGACAAUCUCCUUCCUUUUGUACCCGUUUCGCCGUCUGUUUUUCUGGAUGUGGAAUGUUUUUCUGGCGGUGCUGUAGCAGUCAUUGUUUUUAUUGACAGUUUGCCUCCUGUGAUAUCAUCCAUAUAAACCCAAGAUGGAAUGUAACUAUGUUUGUAAACAUAGAAAUAUAUAUAUUUUUUUUAAUAUUCAAAACCUCAUUCUUCAAUGGCUCAGAUGUUGACGAGAACAUGGUACAUCUUCUCUCUCAGUCAGCAGUGUGUGGGCGGGGUCUCUCUCCUCAGGGUUAAGGUGUGACUGCAUCCCUCCCUGAGAGAGGGAGAGAGAGAGGGAAUCAAAAAAAUUAUUUGUUAGUGCCAGAAAAUCUGUCAUCCUCUCUGUGAUUCUGUGACGGUUCCACAAGGUCCCAGCCCAUCUCUCAGUAGAGGGUUAACAUGGUAGAACGAACGGAGGGAGGGAGGGAGGGGGUGUCCUUGGCUCUCGACCCUUUCCCACAUAACACACAAAAAAAAGGCCCAUAGCACUCUGGUUAAAAGUAGUGCACUAUAUGGGGAAAUAGGGUGCAAUAUUAGGAUGUACCCGGGUGUUUGUGGGAAUGAAAUAAAGACAAAAUAUGAAUAUACCAAAUAAAUGUCAAAUGUUUUGAGGAA
Long non-coding RNA from Oncorhynchus tshawytscha (Chinook salmon), 1018 nucleotides. The record is from Ensembl. NCBI's taxonomy places the organism in Eukaryota, Metazoa, Chordata, Actinopteri, Salmoniformes, Salmonidae.